Molecule: long non-coding RNA, 531 nt
Organism: Ictalurus punctatus (channel catfish)
Lineage: Eukaryota; Metazoa; Chordata; Actinopteri; Siluriformes; Ictaluridae
Source: Ensembl
AGAUCAGGGUGAAGAUCAGAGAGCUCACUGUAGAGGACACUGCGAUGUACCAGUGUGGAGUUGAUAUAAUGGGAAAAGACAUUUACAUACCGGUGGAACUGAAGGUAAAGGAAGAUCUGUCCUAUGAGAAGUCCAUCAGUAAGACUGUCCAUGUAGGAGGAGAUUUGAAUAUCAGCUGUAAAUACCCAGAAUCCCUCAGGAGUGACUCCAAGUUUCUCUGCAAGACGAGGCUGCAACGUGCUGCUUGUUUUUAUAAAUUAUCUGUUAAAGAAAGUAGAAAAUAUGUAAAUGAGGGGAAAUUCUCCUUGUAUGAUGACGGAGAAACACAAACGUUGACUGUGAGUAUUAGAAAUGUAACUGAGCAGGACUCUGGUGAAUACUGGUGUGGAGCUGAAGCAGCCUGGACAUCUGAUCAUGGAUACAAGGUUCAUUUCACACAGAUCGACCUGACAGUUGCUGCAUCAGUGCCAACAAAAUAUUCAUUAUCAUCUUUACCAACAUCAUCAUCAUCAUCAUCAUCAUCACCAUCAU